Molecule: long non-coding RNA, 934 nt
Organism: Solea solea (common sole)
Lineage: Eukaryota; Metazoa; Chordata; Actinopteri; Pleuronectiformes; Soleidae
Exons: 2
Source: RefSeq, a predicted model, not a curated record
AGUUCAAACCCAUGUGGUCCAGACACAAAGGAGAGAAGAUUUAAAAUGCUGUUCAGUCACUUUGGAAGUGAGGGCCCUUUAUUUCUGCUCCGUGAACUGAAACUUCACUAAAUUCCUAAAGGACUUUUGCAAACUCAUCCAUUUUUUACAAGUGAAGCUGCCGUGCUUGGUGUACAAAGACACAAAGAUGACACAAAAGUCUUCUAGUUUUAUCUGGUUUGCCUUCUAGUUUGACACCAAAAUGUACAAUUUAAGUUCAAUUCAGUAUGUAACACAUUUAUUUGGGUUUCAAUUGUCAAACAUUGUUAAAGGGGUAGCGAAAAAUAGCCAAUCCACACUGUCAUACUUGUCUGUACGAGUGGGUGUGUUUGUGGGUCUGUCUGCAUGUCUUUCUCCCCCUGCAGGUUGGCCCUGGAAACCCCUUUCACCUGGUUUCCCUCCAACUCACCUACUGCUGAUUACUCUGAUUGCCACCGCUCACUCACUCCUGUCUGAAAGCCUGGAGCAGCUCACCACUAUUCACCAGAUUGUUUUGUCUUCAUUUGUCCCUGCUCAGCUCUUGAUCCCAGCCACGAGCCACUGCACUGCGGAGGAAACUUGAACUGUGCCCAGCUCCUGUGAAUAUCAGUCACAAACAACUCUGUCCUGGUUCUCCACACAAACAAGCAAACACACACACACACACACACACACCCGGACCCAGGAGUAGACGUGCCAAAACAAACGACCGAGGAUCAAGUUCAGUUUUGCAUUAAAAUGUGACAUUUUAAAGAAGUUUCAAAAGGAAAUGUAUUCCAUGUCCAUUUCAGUGUUAUUAAGAUUUUAUCUAAAGCUUGGUAAUUUAACACAAGGCUAUGUAAAGUCAUGUCUGAGGCAUUUCCUAAUGUGUCUAGAUUAACUGCUUCCAGAUUAAAUAAAAACUUGAUGUUCUCCA